UCAAGGGAUAGUUUAAUUAAAAGAUUCCGGUUUUGGGGGCCGGGGAUGAAGGUUUGAGUCCUUCUCUUUUGAU
RNAcentral lists this transfer RNA (73 nucleotides) under Eretmochelys imbricata (hawksbill sea turtle). RNAcentral's name for it is "tRNA-Pro". It matches the Rfam family "tRNA". From Rfam's summary of the family: Transfer RNA (tRNA) molecules are approximately 80 nucleotides in length. Their secondary structure includes four short double-helical elements and three loops (D, anti-codon, and T loops). Further hydrogen bonds mediate the characteristic L-shaped molecular structure. tRNAs have two regions of fundamental functional importance: the anti-codon, which is responsible for specific mRNA codon recognition, and the 3' end, to which the tRNAs corresponding amino acid is attached (by aminoacyl-tRNA synthetases). tRNAs cope with the degeneracy of the genetic code in two manners: having more than one tRNA (with a specific anti-codon) for a particular amino acid; and 'wobble' base-pairing, i.e. permitting non-standard base-pairing at the 3rd anti-codon position. Lineage: Eukaryota; Metazoa; Chordata; Testudines; Cheloniidae. The record is from RNAcentral.